GGGGCAACCAACAGCUAGUGCUCUGGCAGCAAGAAUGUACGAGGAGCGCAUGAAGAACCCUAAUUUAGUAGAUUCAGAGACAUCCCAACCACUGCUUGAUGCGAGGAUGGCCCUGAAACCAGCUACAAAUCAUCCAGGACAGAUAGGAAACCCUGGAAGUGUGAAUGCAGCAUUGCAACAGAUCCAGGCCCGAGGUCAGCAGCCCACGGAUAUUAAACCAGAGGUCAGUAUUGGUGGUACUCAAA
Molecule: unclassified non-coding RNA, 245 nt
Filed under: Hevea brasiliensis (rubber tree)
Lineage: Eukaryota; Viridiplantae; Streptophyta; Magnoliopsida; Malpighiales; Euphorbiaceae
Source: RNAcentral